AUUAAAUCUAUUCAUCUAAACAAUAAAUAUGUAUAGGUGUUGUUCAGUUGAUUUUUUUUUUUAAAGAAUGGCUCAAGCAUACGAAUUAAUUUUAUUUUAACAUUUACACAGUAGUUCUAGCCACAAAAUAUUCUUGUUGGAUUUGGAACAAUGAAGUUAGCCGAAUUCGUUAAAGAUGGACUAGAGUAAUAUGAAUACUGUCUGUUUAGUCUGUGAGAUGAAUGACUUGUUUUUGAGAGUCAAAGUUUAGUCAAUUCCAAUCUCAUUUAUUUAAUCCCUGGUGUAGUACGUUUGAGAAAAAAAUCAGCUUUGCAAAACUAUUCUAUAUCUUGAAUCUUUAAUCUUGAAUUAUUUCCUAAUAACUAGUCUAAUAAAUGAUCCGUCCCAGACAAAUAAGCCAUAUAGGUUAUAUCAGCUACAUCCAUAUACCGAAUAUUCAAUUUGAAGUAGUAUCGUCGUCAUGAACACAUCAUCUACAUCUGUAUCAUCUACAGUGAGAUUUGAGAUUCACUGCGAACUGUCAGAGUUGUUUGAAUGGUGUUUUCGCUAUAGGGAGGGAAACCUAUAGUUAACCCAUAGUUAACAGAGCCAUUAGUUAACAACUCGCCCAUAAAUAGAUGUUCGUUGCAGAGUCGUUUGCCAGACCCUUUUUAACUAAGGCACUUAUUAAGUCACACUGCUGCUCAUACCACUUUUUGCGUGGUAUGCUUCUAUCCAACUAAUGUAUUGGUAACGGGGAGGGAAUCACUGUGAACAGUUCUUCCAAACCACCAGUCGGAUGACGUCACAACAUGGUGCUUGUUUAUUACAACACUGCUGUCUGCGCUGCUUAUUGUGUUGUUGAUGUUUGGAGGUUACGAAUCGAAAUCGUAAACUGCAGACUAAUUUGUAAUAUUAUUUUAAGUUAAGUUAGUUUGAAUUUUUGAUAGCUAAAUGAAUGAAUUAAGCAAAAUAAGAUUAGAGGUAGAAGUAAAAUGAGUGACUGGUGUAUCUAUUAUUGUAUAAUAUUAACAAAAAAAAAACCAAAAUAAUAUUAACAAAAACAAAAAAAUUUACCAGAAUUUUUUUAUUGCCUUCUGGCAUUUUUAUUUAUCUUGGAAGCAAAGCAGCCAGUUUACAAGAUACAUUUCUAAUGAUUCUGCAUACGGUGCUUAUUAUUAAAAUCAAUAAUAAUUGAUUAAAUUAUACAAUUUAUUGAAAAUUGUAUUACAUCUUCGUCCAAGCUACUCAAAAAGUCAAUGAUAUUCCAAUCUGUUUAUUUACACUCUAUCUACUGUUUCAAAUAGUUAACGUUAUUAUAAUGUAAUCAACUAUUAAGUAUGAUCAUUUUCGUCUGUCUUUUAACAUGCAAACAAGUCAACAUAACCUUAAAAUACACUUGGCGCGAAUGUAUAGUGGAUUUAUAAGCACGAUUUUGAGCAUUUAAAUUAAGAGCACAUUUAGUUAUUGGUAACCUCAAAUGACGUCAUCUGCCUGUAGGGUUUUCGUCUCUGCAACGGAAAAACCUGUUUGUUGGCGCGUUAUUACCUAUCGGCAGAGCAAUAGCUUACAGAACGUCUCUGCAACGAAAUUGGCCUGUUAAAUAGUUAAGUCCGCGCUGUUAACUAUGGGCGACGUUAUUUGUCGACUCUGCAACUGGGCAUGAAUCUGUCUACAGUGAGUUGAAGUUGAAGUUUAGUGAGUGAGUUGCCUGAUGGGUUCUUUCCAUCCUUGAAGUGGUCAGACGACAAAGAUGUCAGGUUUGGGGGUUCAUAGACUCUCGGGGGGUGAAUGAUAUCUGGUGGGGGGUGGGGAGGCGUCUCGACGCCUAGCUUGGCCGUCGGCCAGACCAGAGCAGCACUGCUUUGUUGGGAAUUUGCAGACUGUGGACUGAGAUCGAGACCCCACCGACUUCUCAUUGACAUCCAAUCCUUUCUGUACCAGACCACCAAAUCGGGAAGAGCAUAGUGGUGUCACCGAAAUUGCGAGAUACCGUUUAAAAUAGUGGCAGAGCAACAGAGCACAGAUAUCUGAGCGUCCGCAGAGUUUGUAUUCACAUCAAAAAACAUCUGUGGGCCGACAGAGCUUUUCGCUCUGAUAGCAAUGAAGAUUAUACUUAUCAACAGCUGUGACCGAGAAAAAAGCACCGUUCUAUACGGCAUAUUUUGGAAGAGUCAUUUAUUGAAAAUUAUGAUUCAUUGCAAAUAAUUUGUAAAUUGUUUGUAGUCAACCAUCAGAUUUAGAGGUUACAACUUUGUUUAUGUUAGUGAACAGCUGUUUUGAAUGCAGUCUAGAAAUUAGUCAAAAUGAAUUAUUUGUACUGCUGAACUUACAUUUCAAACCGAUGAUAUAAUUACUUCUAAAAACCAAUAAUUAUCAUUGUAAUAAGGAUAAGAGUUUCAAAAUAAAAAUAUAUUUAUUAUUGUUAAAAUAAUUUAUUAAUGGAAAUAUACAACAUGUUAGAUAUUAUAAAAGCGAGCAUGGUAAUGAUACAAGCAUUAACAUUGAUAAGAAUUAUAAUAUUCAUUUUAUUUUAUUUAUUAAUGUAAUAAGAAUCUCUCGUAUGAAAUAUUAAUAUUGUAUAGUAAUUAUUAUAGAAUCAACCGCAUGGACUGAUGUAAAAAUCUCUGUAUGCCAAUCAUAGGUCAGAAAAAUUACACCAAAAAGGGAUGAUAUUCAAACAUGAUAUUCUAUUUUUGUUAUCAGCAACUAGAAAUGACCUUAUCAUAUGCAGUAACACAUUGUAUGUUGAAUAAGGAGAAAUAUGAAGAGAAUUUAAUCACUAAUAAAAGGCAGAAAAUUUAAGUUUAUUUAUUGUAAAGCAAGAACUAUUCUCUUACUCAUCUCUGACAUGAUGUAUACGUCAUACUAUUUCCACCAAUAGCAAAAUUCUAUGCAAAUUAAGUAAGACGGAACUGCUCCGCAAGAGUUUUUUCGAGAAGAGAGACACUACUUCCCUUUCAACGCCUUCACUGUAAAGACCUUGUUCUCAAAAGUUAUCAUUUUUCUAGUGAGAUUCUUAUUUGUUAAAUUUAUGUAAUUUUAAUGUUAGCCUAGAUCUGAGGCAAUAUUAUUCGUUAUAUUUGUAGAAUUAUUCUAUCAAUUGAUUACCUCCACGAAUCUAAAUUUUAUUAUUCAUUUUGUAUUAGUGAAGGAAAUAAUUAAUUUAUAAAGAAAAUCUCCCAUAAGCUGAAGAUUGAAGUUUGGACGAACCACCGAAUCGAAAUUAAUUCAAAGAAACUACCAUACCAAGAAGGAUCACGUGAGUUUUCUUUUUAUUUUUUGGGGCCCCACCCUUCGCUUCGAAAAGUACAGAAACUACAGUACCAAGAAGGAUCACGUGAGUUUUCUUUUUAUUUUUUGGGGCCCCCCUUCGCUUCGAAAAGUACAGAAAUUACUGCAAAUUUUUCUUCGCUAAUUAUUAAUGGCCACGUCGAAAGCGCAAAUAGCUUAAGUGCUUAAUUAUAAGAUCCGAAUUAUAAUUGUAAGUUUUGUGGUCGUUUAACUGUCCUUAUCUGCCUGAACCACGACCCUGAUUAAAUUUCACAUUGUAAUAUUUUCGUGUAAUAUAAUCAUUGCAUGAUAGCCCAGCAUCAUAGCACUAAUUCAGAUAAGCCUGUCAGCAGAAAAUUAUUCAAAACCUGUUAUCAAAUCAUGAAAUUGUACUGUUUAUUAAUUAUUAUUACUGCUCAUUAUAAUUAUUUCAAAUUUAAUACUUUA
This is a long non-coding RNA of Nilaparvata lugens (brown planthopper), 3699 nucleotides long. RefSeq lists it as uncharacterized. NCBI's taxonomy places the organism in Eukaryota, Metazoa, Arthropoda, Insecta, Hemiptera, Delphacidae. The transcript has 2 exons. The record is from RefSeq and is a predicted model, not a curated record.